GACGAACCCAAGCGAACGUUAUUCGGAAUUACUGGGCUUAAAGCGCGUGUAGGCGGAUUGCCACGUCGACUGUUGAAAUCCCCGCUACGGGACGAGCAUCGAUACGAGUAAUCUUGAGGUGGGUAGGGGAGGACUGGAACUUCCGGUGGAGCGGUGAAAUGCGUUGAGAUCGGAAGGAACGCCCGCGGCGAAAGCGAGUCUCUGGCCCCAUACUGACGCUGAGACGCGAAAGCCAGGGGAGCAAACGGGAUUAG
RNAcentral lists this ribosomal RNA (254 nucleotides) under uncultured bacterium. RNAcentral describes it as "partial 16S ribosomal RNA". It matches the Rfam family "Bacterial small subunit ribosomal RNA", at positions 524 to 781 of the family's 1533-position model. The record is from RNAcentral.